CAAUUAAUUGCUCUGUGGAGUCUAGUUGUGGAAAUACCAGUAGCGGUGAAAAUGCCAAAAGCAACUCUUUUCGAGUUAUGGAUGUGGAAUCUGCUCACUGUGCGCAACCUCAGAUUUCUACAACAAAACUACCUGCAGGAUCAUUUCAGGAAGCAAAGAAGAAAACACUUGAUAAUAUAGAAGACGAGGCAAACAAAAGGAAGCUUCUUGAUGAUCCAUACCAGAUUGCUAAAAAAGCUAGAACUACAAGAGAAUCUGAAGCCACUAUUGGGUCAACGAGAAUGAAGGAUACAGCAUCACAAGGAAGUGUUCUGGUGGUUGAGGA
Molecule: unclassified non-coding RNA, 325 nt
Filed under: Hevea brasiliensis (rubber tree)
Lineage: Eukaryota; Viridiplantae; Streptophyta; Magnoliopsida; Malpighiales; Euphorbiaceae
Source: RNAcentral